GCAACUAAUACCGUAUACGCCCUACGGGGGAAAGAUUUAUUGCUAUUAGAUGAGCCUAUAUUAGAUUAGCUAGUUGGUAAGGUAAUGGCUUACCAAGGCAAUGAUCUAUAGCUGAUCUGAGAGGAUGAUCAGCCACACUGGAACUGAGAUACGGUCCAGACUCCUACGGGAGGCAGCAGUGGGGAAUAUUGGACUAUGUGUUAUAGCCUGAUCCAGCCAUGCCGCAUGAGUGAAGAAGGCCUUUGGGUUGUAAAGCUCUUUCGGUGAGGAAGAUAAUGACGGUACUCACAGAAGAAGUCCUGGCUAACUCCGUGCCAGCAGCCGCGGUAAUACGGAGAGGGCUAGCGUUAUUCGGAAUUAUUGGGCGUAAAGAGCGCGUAGGCUGGUUAGUAAGUUAAAAGUGAAAUCCCAAAGCUCAACUUUGGAAUUGAUUUUAAAACUGCUAACCUAGAGAUUGAAAGAGGAUAGAGGAAUUCCUAGUGUAGAGGUGAAAUUCGUAAAUAUUAGGAGGAACACCAGUGGCGAAGGCGUCUAUCUGGUUCAAAUCUGACGGUGAGGCGGGAAGGCGUGGGGACCAAACAGGAUUAGAUACCCUGGUAGUCCACGCUGUAAACGAUGAAUGUUAAAUAUGGGAAGUUUACUUUCUGUAUUACAGCUAACGCGUUAAACAAAACGCCUGGGGACUACGGUCGCAAGAUUAAA
RNAcentral lists this ribosomal RNA (702 nucleotides) under Wolbachia endosymbiont of Blattella sp. RNAcentral describes it as "bacterial SSU rRNA". It matches the Rfam family "Bacterial small subunit ribosomal RNA", at positions 159 to 898 of the family's 1533-position model. Lineage: Bacteria; Pseudomonadati; Pseudomonadota; Alphaproteobacteria; Rickettsiales; Anaplasmataceae. The record is from RNAcentral.